This 655-nucleotide ribosomal RNA is filed under the name uncultured bacterium. RNAcentral describes it as "bacterial SSU rRNA". It matches the Rfam family "Bacterial small subunit ribosomal RNA", at positions 93 to 740 of the family's 1533-position model. The record is from RNAcentral.
AAGCGGCGAACGGGUGAGGAAUACAUGGGUAACCUACCCUCGAGUGGGGAAUAACUAGCCGAAAGGUUAGCUAAUACCGCGUACGCUUCUUGGACUUCGGUUCAGGGAGGAAAGCGAUACCGUAGGUAUCGCGCUCUUGGAUGGGCUCAUGUCCUAUCAGCUUGUUGGUGAGGUAACGGCUCACCAAGGCUUCGACGGGUAGCUGGUCUGAGAGGACGAUCAGCCACACUGGCACUGCGACACGGGCCAGACUCCUACGGGAGGCAGCAGUAAGGAAUAUUGCGCAAUGGGCGAAAGCCUGACGCAGCGACGCCGCGUGGGGGAUGAAGGUCUUCGGAUUGUAAGCCCCUUUCGGGAGGGAAGAUGGAAUGGGGUAACCCAUUCGGACGGUACCUCCAGAAGCAGCCACGGCUAACUUCGUGCCAGCAGCCGCGGUAAUACGAAGGUGGCAAGCGUUGUUCGGAUUUACUGGGCGUACAGGGAGCGUAGGCGGUUCGGUAAGCCCUUUGUGAAAUCUCCAGGCUUAACCUGGAACAGUCGGAGGGGACUGCCGGGCUAGAGGACGGGAGAGGAGCGCGGAAUUCCCGGUGUAGCGGUGAAAUGCGUAGAGAUCGGGAGGAAGGCCGGUGGCGAAGGCGGCGCUCUGGAACGUUUC